Molecule: long non-coding RNA, 969 nt
Filed under: Ananas comosus (pineapple)
Lineage: Eukaryota; Viridiplantae; Streptophyta; Magnoliopsida; Poales; Bromeliaceae
Description: long non-coding RNA (ACOM_LNC012064)
Source: RNAcentral
UGGAAUUAGUAAACUAUGAAAAUGCAACUUAGAGACAUGAUGAUAGGCCAUUGUAUAUCUGCUAUAUUCCAUGUUAGAGACAUGAUGACAUAGAGAUAAGCUAUUGAGAUACUUGAUAUAUUCCAUGUUUUAGACAUGAGGACUUGGUACUUGAGAUAGAUCAUUGCUUGCUUUCCAUUGUGCUCAUUCGCACAUGCUUGUGAGGGUCGCUCCCUACAAACUGGCACUCUGGAGAUAGCCAUCGCGACAUAUGCUCGCCCGUGCGGGAUUGGGCGCCGAAGUGGAUUGCCGUGGGGGAGGCUCAUCCCUAGAGUGGGGAUGUUGACUACCACGGGGCCAUUAGGCACGGCGCAGGCCAGACAGCCUUCGGGUGGGUCUUAUAUGAUUGGGACUUAGUGACAGAACAUGCUAUGUGAACUUUAAAACUAUUAAAGUGGACUUGGACUAGAAUAGUAAACAAUGACAUCUUUACUAUUUUUGCAUCGAGGAUGUAAUAUACCGAAAAUUCGGAAAAUAAAUGUCGAACUUUAGUCAAAUUGACCAAAGUGCAAGGACGGUACACUUCGGAAAGUCCGAAGGUGUUAAAAUGGUUAAAAGUGAGUUACGAGAGGUUUUCGAGAGCUAAAGGAUCAAAUUCUGCAAAACUGCAGAUUUUGAGCUCUCGGGGACCGGUCCCUGGUGGGAAAGACCGGUCCCCGAACGCGUAUGAAUUGAGACAGCCGAAAAAUCGGCUAAGUCCUGAGAAACCAGCUCUCGGGAACCGGUCCCUGCCUGAGAGACCGGUCCCCGAGAGACCGGUCCCCCAAAGAGAGACCGUAUGCAUCGCGCGCAGCAGCUCUGGCUGCGCUGGGACGACCUUCGGGAACCGGUCCCUGAAGGAGAGACCGGUCCCCGCCUGCGCGAACAGCCCAGUCCAGGCUGUGUGAAAGAGUGAAAGUUGAGGGGUUUAUUUGCAUUUUGGCAACCCAU